CGUAGGGUGCGAGCGUUAAUCGGAAUUACUGGGCGUAAAGGGUGCGCAGGCGGCGUCGCAAGUCAGGCGUGAAAUCCCCGGGCUUAACCUGUGAAUGGCGCUUGAAACUACGAUGCUGGAGUAUGGCAGAGGGAGGUGGAAUUCCACGUGUAGCGGUGAAAUGCGUAGAGAUGUGGAGGAACACCGAUGGCGAAGGCAGCCUCCUGGGCCAAUACUGACGCUCAUGCACGAAAGCGUGGGGAGCAAACAGGAUUAGAUACCCUGGUAGUCCACGCCCUAAACGAUGAUGACUAGUUGUUGGAGGAGUUAAAUCCUUUAGUAACGCAGCUAACGCGCGAAGUCAUCCGCCUGGGGAGUACGGUCGCAAGAUUA
RNAcentral lists this ribosomal RNA (372 nucleotides) under uncultured organism. Its description in RNAcentral is "bacterial SSU rRNA". It matches the Rfam family "Bacterial small subunit ribosomal RNA", at positions 526 to 896 of the family's 1533-position model. The record is from RNAcentral.